This 58-nucleotide transfer RNA is filed under the name Cricetulus griseus (Chinese hamster). It matches the Rfam family "tRNA", at positions 8 to 63 of the family's 71-position model. From Rfam's summary of the family: Transfer RNA (tRNA) molecules are approximately 80 nucleotides in length. Their secondary structure includes four short double-helical elements and three loops (D, anti-codon, and T loops). Lineage: Eukaryota; Metazoa; Chordata; Mammalia; Rodentia; Cricetidae. The record is from Rfam by way of RNAcentral. RNAcentral also lists the same sequence under 3 other names.
UGGCUCAGUGGUUAAGAGCACUGGCUGCUCUUCCAGAGGACCUGGGUUCAACUCCCAG